RNAcentral lists this ribosomal RNA (2905 nucleotides) under Yersinia enterocolitica. Its description in RNAcentral is "bacterial LSU rRNA". It matches the Rfam family "Bacterial large subunit ribosomal RNA". Lineage: Bacteria; Pseudomonadati; Pseudomonadota; Gammaproteobacteria; Enterobacterales; Yersiniaceae. The record is from RNAcentral.
UUAAGCGACUAAGCGUACACGGUGGAUGCCUAGGCAGUCAGAGGCGAUGAAGGGCGUGCUAAUCUGCGAAAAGCGUCGGUAAGGUGAUAUGAACCGUUACAACCGACGAUACCCGAAUGGGGAAACCCAGUGCAAUUCGUUGCACUAUUGCAUGGUGAAUACAUAGCCAUGCAAGGCGAACCGGGGGAACUGAAACAUCUAAGUACCCCGAGGAAAAGAAAUCAACCGAGAUUCCCCCAGUAGCGGCGAGCGAACGGGGAGGGGCCCAGAACCUGAAUCAGCGUAUGUGUUAGUGGAAGCGUCUGGAAAGUCGCACGGUACAGGGUGAUAGUCCCGUACACAAAAAUGCAUAUGUUGUGAGUUCGAUGAGUAGGGCGGGACACGUGACAUCCUGUCUGAAUAUGGGGGGACCAUCCUCCAAGGCUAAAUACUCCUGACUGACCGAUAGUGAACCAGUACCGUGAGGGAAAGGCGAAAAGAACCCCGGCGAGGGGAGUGAAAUAGAACCUGAAACCGUGUACGUACAAGCAGUGGGAGCACCUUCGUGGUGUGACUGCGUACCUUUUGUAUAAUGGGUCAGCGACUUAUAUUUUGUAGCAAGGUUAACCGAAUAGGGGAGCCGUAGGGAAACCGAGUCUUAACUGGGCGAAUAGUUGCAAGGUAUAGACCCGAAACCCGGUGAUCUAGCCAUGGGCAGGUUGAAGGUUGGGUAACACUAACUGGAGGACCGAACCGACUAAUGUUGAAAAAUUAGCGGAUGACUUGUGGCUGGGGGUGAAAGGCCAAUCAAACCGGGAGAUAGCUGGUUCUCCCCGAAAGCUAUUUAGGUAGCGCCUCGUGAACUCAUCUUCGGGGGUAGAGCACUGUUUCGGCUAGGGGGUCAUCCCGACUUACCAAACCGAUGCAAACUCCGAAUACCGAAGAAUGUUAUCACGGGAGACACACGGCGGGUGCUAACGUCCGUCGUGAAGAGGGAAACAACCCAGACCGCCAGCUAAGGUCCCAAAGUCAUGGUUAAGUGGGAAACGAUGUGGGAAGGCAUAGACAGCCAGGAUGUUGGCUUAGAAGCAGCCAUCAUUUAAAGAAAGCGUAAUAGCUCACUGGUCGAGUCGGCCUGCGCGGAAGAUGUAACGGGGCUAAACCAUGCACCGAAGCUGCGGCAGCGACGCUUAGGCGUUGUUGGGUAGGGGAGCGUUCUGUAAGCCGUUGAAGGUGACCUGUGAGGGUUGCUGGAGGUAUCAGAAGUGCGAAUGCUGACAUAAGUAACGAUAAUGCGGGUGAAAAACCCGCACGCCGGAAGACCAAGGGUUCCUGUCCAACGUUAAUCGGGGCAGGGUGAGUCGACCCCUAAGGCGAGGCUGAAAAGCGUAGUCGAUGGGAAACAGGUUAAUAUUCCUGUACUUGGUGUUACUGCGAAGGGGGGACGGAGAAGGCUAGGCUAGCCGGGCGACGGUUGUCCCGGUUUAAGCAUGUAGGCGGAGUGACUUGGUAAAUCCGGUUGCUUAUCAACGCUGAGGUGUGAUGACGAGUCACUACGGUGAUGAAGUAGUUGAUGCCAAGCUUCCAGGAAAAGCCUCUAAGCAUCAGGUAACAUUAAAUCGUACCCCAAACCGACACAGGUGGUCAGGUAGAGAAUACUCAGGCGCUUGAGAGAACUCGGGUGAAGGAACUAGGCAAAAUGGUGCCGUAACUUCGGGAGAAGGCACGCUGGCAUUAGGUAAAGGGACUUGCUCCCGGCGCCGAAGCCAGUCGCAGAUACCAGCUGGCUGCAACUGUUUAAUAAAAACACAGCACUGUGCAAACACGAAAGUGGACGUAUACGGUGUGACGCCUGCCCGGUGCUGGAAGGUUAAUUGAUGGGGUCAGCCGCAAGGCGAAGCUCUUGAUCGAAGCCCCAGUAAACGGCGGCCGUAACUAUAACGGUCCUAAGGUAGCGAAAUUCCUUGUCGGGUAAGUUCCGACCUGCACGAAUGGCGUAAUGAUGGCCAGGCUGUCUCCACCCGAGACUCAGUGAAAUUGAACUCGCUGUGAAGAUGCAGUGUACCCGCGGCAAGACGGAAAGACCCCGUGAACCUUUACUAUAGCUUGACACUGAACAUUGAGCCUUGAUGUGUAGGAUAGGUGGGAGGCAUUGAAGUGUGGACGCCAGUCUGCAUGGAGCCAACCUUGAAAUACCACCCUUUAAUGUUUGAUGUUCUAACUCGGCCCCAUAAUCUGGGGUGAGGACAGUGUCUGGUGGGUAGUUUGACUGGGGCGGUCUCCUCCCAAAGAGUAACGGAGGAGCACGAAGGUUAGCUAAUCACGGUCGGACAUCGUGAGGUUAGUGCAAAGGCAUAAGCUAGCUUGACUGCGAGAGUGACGGCUCGAGCAGGUACGAAAGUAGGUCUUAGUGAUCCGGUGGUUCUGAAUGGAAGGGCCAUCGCUCAACGGAUAAAAGGUACUCCGGGGAUAACAGGCUGAUACCGCCCAAGAGUUCAUAUCGACGGCGGUGUUUGGCACCUCGAUGUCGGCUCAUCACAUCCUGGGGCUGAAGUAGGUCCCAAGGGUAUGGCUGUUCGCCAUUUAAAGUGGUACGCGAGCUGGGUUUAGAACGUCGUGAGACAGUUCGGUCCCUAUCUGCCGUGGGCGUUGGAAGAUUGAGAGGGGCUGCUCCUAGUACGAGAGGACCGGAGUGGACGAAUCACUGGUGUUCGGGUUGUCAUGCCAAUGGCAUUGCCCGGUAGCUAAAUUCGGAAGAGAUAACCGCUGAAAGCAUCUAAGCGGGAAACUUGCCUCGAGAUGAGUCUUCCCUGGGGCUUUAAGCCCCCUGAAGGAACGUUAAAGACUAUGACGUUGAUAGGCUGGGUGUGUAAGUGCAGCGAUGCAUUGAGCUAACCAGUACUAAUGAUCCGUGAGGCUUAACCUU